GUGUUUGUCUGUUUACUCGAAUGAGAGGCAGAUUUUUGCAGUUGCAAUUCUUCUGCCAUUCUUGUUUUUUUCCUUCUCUAACUCCAAGUGUUUUCUAAGUAACUCAGCACUACUCUAUUGAUCAUUUAGUUGUUCUUGUUGUAAUGUUGGAGACUUUACUACUUGAUUAGAGCUUUGUUGAUGAGCUUCUCCUUGAUUCGGCUAGCCAGGUUCUUUAAGACAGAGCUAAUUGCUGAUAAGUGCUGGCCGAGAUCAAGCACUGCUUUCUCAAUACCUCCAACUUGCUAAGAUAACCCCCCUCCUGCUUGGAACCAAUAGACUGCACAUUUGCCUACAGUUUAGAUACUUCAGAACGUGUCAACAAGUUAUCCUUCUGCAACACACCGAAAUCAUCACGCAAAGGCAACACCUCCUGUAGAUCCGUAUCAUCAAUCACCUUUGGAUGCCCCGUCGCCUUGAUCUGGAAAAGAGAGAGGGGAUUUUACUGCGAGAAUUCUUUCGGUAACCAAAACUGCACCUCCUGUAGGCCCUCUUCCCCAGAGCCUGCCGCUUUCUCGAUCCACACCACCAAAACUGCACGAACCAGCAAUUGAUCUAGAAUUUUACCGCUAGAGAAGUGAUCUCUAGCAACUCAUCCUCACUACUGGUUUGCAGCCAAACACUUCACCGCCUCCAACGCCACCCUGGUUCAGGUCACCGCCACCAGCGCCGCCGUAGCAGAUCAUGCUCGGAUCGCGUCGACUCAGAGCAUCGGGAGGGAAACUGGGUGGGAAUCACUCCUUCUUACGGAAAAAAAAUUAUGGCCGAGGAAAGCCUUGCUCUCAAUACCAAUUUGUGAGGCCCCGCUAGUAAUUCAGCCUGAACAAGGGAGAUCUAAGAUGUAAAUCGAGCGAAGUACCUAGAGUUUCGGCCAAGGAACGAGAGCCAUCUUAUCUAUUAAGCAUCUAUAAAGUAUAUUCGCUACUCCAAGGCAAGAUAACAG
Molecule: long non-coding RNA, 982 nt
Filed under: Hordeum vulgare
Lineage: Eukaryota; Viridiplantae; Streptophyta; Magnoliopsida; Poales; Poaceae
Description: long non-coding RNA (HVUL_LNC001498)
Source: RNAcentral